RNAcentral lists this ribosomal RNA (431 nucleotides) under uncultured Alphaproteobacteria bacterium. RNAcentral describes it as "bacterial SSU rRNA". It matches the Rfam family "Bacterial small subunit ribosomal RNA", at positions 958 to 1385 of the family's 1533-position model. Lineage: Bacteria; Pseudomonadati; Pseudomonadota; Alphaproteobacteria. The record is from RNAcentral.
AACGCGAAGAACCUUACCAGCUCUUGACAUGCCCGGUAUGGGGCCGAGAGAUCGGCUCCUUCAGUUCGGCUGGCCGGUGCACAGGUGCUGCAUGGCUGUCGUCAGCUCGUGUCGUGAGAUGUUGGGUUAAGUCCCGCAACGAGCGCAACCCUCACCUUCAGUUGCCAUCAGGUUAAGCUGGGCACUCUGAAGGAACUGCCGGUGACAAGCCGGAGGAAGGCGGGGAUGACGUCAAGUCCUCAUGGCCUUUAUGGGCUGGGCUACACACGUGCUACAAUGGCGGUGACAGUGGGACGCGAAGGGGCAACCCUUGGCCAAUCUCAAAAAGCCGUCUCAGUUCGGAUUGUUCUCUGCAACUCGAGAGCAUGAAGCUGGAAUCGCUAGUAAUCGCGGAUCAGCACGCCGCGGUGAAUACGUUCCCGGGCCUUGUA